GAGACAGAGAAAGCAGCCUUUGUUUUUAAUACCCUUUUCUUUGCUUGUUUGCUUGAAGGGAAGGUAAAGAAAAAGAUCCAUCAUUUCUAGCCAAACUUACAUUCCCAUUCUUUCUACAACUCAACUAGACUCCAAACUUUUUCUGGGUUUUGCUCUGUGAGCUUCUGUUGUACCUUUCCUUUUUCAACUACAUCGAUUAAAGUGCGAAAAUGGGUGUUGGUGGGACUUUGGAGUACUUGUCAGAUUUGGUGGGUAGUAGCCAUAAACACAAGAAGAAGAAACAGCUUCAAACUGUGGAGUUGAAGGUCAGAAUGGACUGUGAUGGC
RNAcentral lists this unclassified non-coding RNA (326 nucleotides) under Hevea brasiliensis (rubber tree). Lineage: Eukaryota; Viridiplantae; Streptophyta; Magnoliopsida; Malpighiales; Euphorbiaceae. The record is from RNAcentral.